Molecule: ribosomal RNA, 217 nt
Filed under: Vibrio cholerae
Lineage: Bacteria; Pseudomonadati; Pseudomonadota; Gammaproteobacteria; Vibrionales; Vibrionaceae
Description: partial 16S ribosomal RNA
Rfam family: Bacterial small subunit ribosomal RNA
Source: RNAcentral
CUCCUACGGGAGGCAGCAGUGGGGAAUAUUGCACAAUGGGCGCAAGCCUGAUGCAGCGACGCCGCGUGAGGGAUGACGGCCUUCGGGUUGUAAACCUCUGUUAGCAGGGAAGAAGAGAGAUUGACGGUACCUGCAGAGAAAGCGCCGGCUAACUACGUGCCAGCAGCCGCGGUAAUACGUAGGGCGCGAGCGUUGUCCGGAAUUAUUGGGCGUAAAG